GGUAUAGCAGGGUUCUAAAUUACAUUUGAGCUCGGACCAAAAUCGUGGGGACCGACUACAGACAUUUGCACGACUAUGAAGUCUGAAACAAGACAUCGAUUAUAAAAUGGACUGAAUGUGCUGUUAUAGAGACACUAAUAAUUAUCGUGGAAAGUCUACAGUCUACGAGGUGUACACUUCUUUGUGAGGAGCCUGAAGAACUGUCUGAAUUCAGACCCGGAGGAGACUUGUGUCCAGGGAGUCCAACUUGGAAUAGUCACAGUGGUUGAAGGUGACGUUGGAACGGUCCGAUCAAGUCCAACAACAACAAGCAUCGCCCUGGUUAUUGAGCAAUGGAUUGUCCUGCAUGAUGCAUGCGACCUCUCAGCAGCAUUCUCUCAUCUGUGCUCUGUGUGUUUUUACUAAAUGCCACUGAUGUGUUGACCACAUCUGGUGAAAAGCAUUUCUAAAGACCAGUGUACAGUUGUCUUGUUACAGACUAUACGAUAGGUGCUUUUGUUUCUGUUCAUUCAUAAUAAAGGCAAAAAAGCCUCAUACUGUUUUUGGUUGAUUUAUUUUUUCU
Molecule: long non-coding RNA, 562 nt
Organism: Gasterosteus aculeatus aculeatus (three-spined stickleback)
Lineage: Eukaryota; Metazoa; Chordata; Actinopteri; Perciformes; Gasterosteidae
Source: Ensembl